GCAGCUGUAGCUCAGUGGUAUGAGCGUGCGAUUGCAAUAUGUGCUCAUGCAUAGUCUAUCGCGAGGUCCUGGGUUCGACCCCCAGCAGCUGCU
Non-coding RNA from Roridomyces roridus, 93 nucleotides. Lineage: Eukaryota; Fungi; Basidiomycota; Agaricomycetes; Agaricales; Mycenaceae. The record is from the annotation of a GenBank genome assembly.